This 581-nucleotide ribosomal RNA is filed under the name Cystoisospora felis. RNAcentral's name for it is "LSU rRNA". It matches the Rfam family "Eukaryotic large subunit ribosomal RNA", at positions 419 to 935 of the family's 3401-position model. Lineage: Eukaryota; Apicomplexa; Conoidasida; Eucoccidiorida; Sarcocystidae. The record is from RNAcentral.
GCGAUUGGAACUUGUUUCAUUCCAAUGAGUGAGGCUGGUGUAGCAUUGAUCCCUCUGCUUUUCCCACUCUUUUACGGAUGGGAGGGUAGGGGUUGGCAUUAGAUGUGAGACCUGUUCAUCUCUUUGGAGAGGUCAGCAUCAGUUACGAAGAAGGGAUUCCGGGCGGAAAAGGUAGGUUCCCUGCGGACUGCUUUAUAGUUUCGUCUGGCGGCUGGAAUGUGAUUCCGAGUUCGGGCCACACUUUCGAGUACUCGAAUUCUGUGAUGCUGACAGUCACGGUUUCAACCGACCCGUCUUGAAACACGGACCAAGGAGUCUAACAUAUGUGCAAGUAUGCGGGUGCCAGUCCUGUAUGCGUAAUGAAAGUGAGAGUAGGGAGUUGGGUGCGCUGCCGCUCCUCGCACCUACGACCGACCACGAUCUUCAGAGAGAGGUUUGAGUUAUAGCAUAUCUGUUAGGACCCGAAAGAUGGUGAACUAUGCCUGGGUAGAAUGAAGUCAGGGGAAACCCUGAUGGAGGUUCGUAGCGAUACUGACGUGCAAAUCGUUCGUCAAACUUGGGUAUAGGGGCGAAAGACUAAU